RNAcentral lists this ribosomal RNA (465 nucleotides) under uncultured bacterium. RNAcentral's name for it is "partial 16S ribosomal RNA". It matches the Rfam family "Bacterial small subunit ribosomal RNA", at positions 339 to 795 of the family's 1533-position model. The record is from RNAcentral.
CUACGGGCUGCUGCAGUGAGGAAUUUUGCGCAAUGGGGGGAACCCUGACGCAGCAACGCCGCGUGAGUGAUGAAGGCUUUCGGGUCGUAAAGCUCUGUCAAGUGGGAAGAACCUAUGCAGUGUUAAUAUCACUGUAUACUGACGGUACCACUGAAGGAAGCACCGGCUAACUCCGUGCCAGCAGCCGCGGUAAUACGGGGGGUGCAAGCGUUAUUCGGAAUCAUUGGGCGUAAAGGGCACGUAGGCGGCUUGGUAAGUCAGAUGUGAAAGCCCGGGGCUUAACCCCGGAAGUGCAUUUGAUACUGUCAGGCUUGAGUAUGGGAGAGGGAAGUGGAAUUCCUGGUGUAGAGGUGAAAUUCGUAGAUAUCAGGAGGAACACCGGUGGCGAAGGCGACUUCCUGGACCAAUACUGACGCCGAGGUGCGAAGGCGUGGGUAGCAAACAGGAUUAGAUACCCUGGUAGUC